RNAcentral lists this RNase P RNA (330 nucleotides) under Flavobacterium difficile. Its description in RNAcentral is "RNase P RNA component class A". It matches the Rfam family "Bacterial RNase P class A". Rfam says of the family: Ribonuclease P (RNase P) is a ubiquitous endoribonuclease, found in archaea, bacteria and eukarya as well as chloroplasts and mitochondria. Its best characterised activity is the generation of mature 5'-ends of tRNAs by cleaving the 5'-leader elements of precursor-tRNAs. Cellular RNase Ps are ribonucleoproteins. The record is from RNAcentral. Lineage: Bacteria; Pseudomonadati; Bacteroidota; Flavobacteriia; Flavobacteriales; Flavobacteriaceae.
ACCGCAGACCGCCUUAUCGUUCCCGAUUAUAUCGGGAGAGGAAAGUCCGGACACCAUAGAGAAGCAUAGCGGGUAACACCCGUCGGUAAAUUUGGAUUGAAUUCUGAAUUUGCAAGGACAAGUGCAACAGAAAGUAUGUACAGGUUAAGCUGUAGUGAAACCAGGUAAACUCUAUGCGGUGAAAUUUCAAGUAUAUCAGCAUUUAAGGGUUUCUCGUCCGUUGCUGAAGGGUAGAAAGAUGGAUUCUUAGAGUAAUUUAAGAACUAGAUAAAUGAUAAGGGUCCCGAUCCUAUCGGGAUACAGAAUCCGGCUUAUAGGUCUGCAUUUUUU